CAAAAACAUGACUCUGAUCGGCGUCCUCAUCUGGACUCUCCUCUGCUGCUGCUUCACAGAGUCCAGAGGCCAGAUCACAGUGACUCAGCCUGGAGCAGUGAGGUCUGCUCUGGGAGAGUCCGUCACCAUCAACUGUAAGACCAGUCCAGAGGCUUAUGGUGGGAGCGUUUUAAACUGGUACCAACAGAAAGAUGGAGAAACUCCUAAACUGCUCAUUUACUAUGCUGACACUCGAGAAUCAGGGAUUCCAGAUCGUUUUACAGGCAGUGGAUCAAACACUGACUUCACUCUGACCAUCAGUGGAGUCCAGACUGAAGAUGCAGCAGUUUACUACUGUCAGAGUUUUCAUUAUAUCAACAGUCAGGUUGUGUUCACUUUUGGUGGAGGAACCAGACUGGAUGUUAACUUCAUCUCCACCCUGACGGUGCUGCCCCCCUCCAGGAAGGAGCUCCAGCAGGGGAAGGCCACGCUCAUGUGUCUGGCCAACAAGGGCUUCCCCUCAGGCUGGACUCUGUCCUGGAAGGUGGACAUGUCAAGGAUCAACUAUCCAAUCAUCUCUGUUUACUGA
Molecule: non-coding RNA, 568 nt
Organism: Chelmon rostratus (copperband butterflyfish)
Lineage: Eukaryota; Metazoa; Chordata; Actinopteri; Chaetodontiformes; Chaetodontidae
Source: the annotation of a RefSeq genome assembly